RNAcentral lists this ribosomal RNA (253 nucleotides) under uncultured bacterium. RNAcentral describes it as "partial 16S ribosomal RNA". It matches the Rfam family "Bacterial small subunit ribosomal RNA", at positions 524 to 776 of the family's 1533-position model. The record is from RNAcentral.
UACGUAGGGGGCAAGCGUUGUCCGGAAUCAUUGGGCGUAAAGCGCGUGUAGGCGGCCCGGUAAGUCCGCUGUGAAAGUCGGGGGCUCAACCCUCGAAAGCCGGUGGAUACUGUGAGGCUAGAGUACGGAAGAGGCGAGUGGAAUUCCUGGUGUAGCGGUGGAAUGCGCAGAUAUCAGGAGGAACACCAAUAGCGAAGGCAGCUCGCUGGGACGUUACUGACACUGAGGCGCGAAAGCGUGGGGAGCGAACAGG